This 253-nucleotide ribosomal RNA is filed under the name uncultured bacterium. Its description in RNAcentral is "partial 16S ribosomal RNA". It matches the Rfam family "Bacterial small subunit ribosomal RNA", at positions 524 to 776 of the family's 1533-position model. The record is from RNAcentral.
UACGGAGGGUGCAAGCGUUGUCCGGAUUCACUGGGUUUAAAGGGAGCGCAGGCGGAUUAGUAAGUCAGUGGUGAAAGCCUUAAGCUUAACUUGGGAACUGCCAUUGAUACUAUUAGUCUUGAAUGUUGUUGAGGUUUGCGGAAUGGGUCAUGUAGCGGUGAAAUGCAUAGAUAUGACCCGGAACACCUAUUGCGAAGGCAGCAGGCUAAACAAAUAUUGACGCUGAGGCUCGAAAGCGUGGGGAUCAAACAGG